Molecule: non-coding RNA, 76 nt
Organism: Anopheles minimus
Lineage: Eukaryota; Metazoa; Arthropoda; Insecta; Diptera; Culicidae
Source: Rfam
GUUGCAUGAUGAUAGAAUUUCUUCAACUGAUCAUUAAUUGAUGAGCCUACCGUUGACAUUUUUUAAUCUGACAACA